Molecule: RNA transcript, 2439 nt
Organism: Monomorium pharaonis (pharaoh ant)
Lineage: Eukaryota; Metazoa; Arthropoda; Insecta; Hymenoptera; Formicidae
Gene: sotv
Gene name: exostosin-2
Exons: 9
Source: RefSeq, a predicted model, not a curated record
GCACUCUGCUUUUCUGCUUCACAGAAACUGUCAACUACUAAUGUGAGAGACUAAUGUUCUGAUUAGUUUCUGCUUUUCUGCCAAGAUGUGAAUUUCCCUUUACACCGUGACAGUCAGACAGUAUACUUCUGUCAUUUACGAAGUUACACUGUAUUUAUAUAUUAUAAAUAUUUUUAAUUUUUACAUAAUUUUGUUUUUACAUUAAUAGUCUAAUGGUAAUUUUUAUAAAUCAAAAGAAAAAACGAAGAGGAAUGUAAUUUUAACAAUGAGAUUCUAAUUAUAUAUGUAUUGAGAUGAAUACCUGUACAUGACAACGCUCUUUAUAUCAAAUGUGCGUCAACGUUUGAAAUUAUAUAUUUAUACAUUGCAAGACUUUAUGUACUUGAAUGAGAUUUAUAGAACGAUCUUUUACGAUAUCUCGUAAGAGAACUGAGAAAAAGAGAUGAUAUUAUCGGCACGUAUAUCACAUAAAACCAACAGAGUGUCGUAUCAUUAUCACAAUAUCUUUGUGAUAUGUUUAUUGUUAUUUACAUCAUUUAUUGUAUUGAUCUCGGUGUAUCAUAUUUUUAAGUUCGGCAAUACGCAGAAACAUUCCGAGCACAUUGCUAUAACGCUGAACGAUAUAAAUGCCUUGCCUAUUCAAACGUUACAUGUUGACUCGGGUACAGCAGACGUCACCAAUUCUUCCUGUACAUAUUUCACCUGUUUCAACGUGUAUCGAUGCGGCAGCCAGGGAAACAAACUCCUGGUGUAUGUCUAUCCACUCAAGGUAUAUCUGGAUUCCACAGGUAGACCAAUUACCAAUCAGAUGACGAAAGAAUUCUAUCAAAUUCUGAGUGCCAUUAUCAGCAGCAAAUUUUAUACUCCCAAUCCAUACGAAGCCUGUAUUUUUGUCCCCUCUAUUGACACUCUCAAUCAGAACAGAUUGAGAUUGCAAGAAGUCUCUCAGGCACUGAGAACAUUAUCUUUCUGGAACAAGGGAGAGAAUCACUUGAUCUUUAACAUGGUACCUGGGAGUGUACCGGACUACAACACUGUCAUUGAUGUACCUGUGGGAAAAGCGAUAAUUGCGGGCGCUGGAAUGUCAUCCUUGACAUAUAGACCUAGUUUCGACAUUAGUUUACCAGUCUACAGUCCACUCGUAAACAAUUUGAAAACUAAUCAUAGUAAUAUGAGAAUAUGGCUGGUAAUGUCUUCACAAAUCAACAUUAACACUGCUUUCGAGCAAGAUCUAAUGGAAAUAAAAAUGACGUAUUCGAAAGACAUUUUAGUGCUAGGCCCAUGUCUGCAUUUUAAUCCAAUGAAUAACACUAUUCGUUGCGUAGGAGAGGAUAUAUAUAAAUAUCCUGACAUUCUGCAAACAGCGACAUUUUGUCUAAUAAUCCGUGGUGCUAGACUUGCUCAAAGUGCACUUUUGGAUGCAAUGGCUGCUGGUUGUAUACCUGUGAUUAUAGCUGACUCUUUAAUGAUGCCAUUUCACGAUGUAAUUGAUUGGACCAAGGCUGCUGUUUUUAUACGUGAAGUUGAUAUUUUAUUAACUGUACAACUGCUAAAAAAGAUAUCUCAUCAACGUAUUAUGGAAAUGCAAGAACAGAAUGCAUGGCUGUAUGAUCGUUAUUUUAGUUCGAUGGAGAAAAUUACUGAAACUACAUUAGAAAUACUCUCGGAUCGUGUAUUUCCACAUUUGACACGAGAUUACACAUACUGGAAUGUACCAUCCUAUAAGGGAAAGCCUUCACCACUUUUUCUACCGGUGACUGCUCCUAAAACGCGUGGUUUCACUGCCGUAAUAUUAACGUACGACAGACUAGAGUUACUGUUUUUAUUAAUUAAUAAACUCGUAAAAGUACCAAGUCUGUCCAAAGUUCUGGUGAUUUGGAAUAAUCAACAUAAAGAUCCACCACACUCUACUAGAUGGCCAAAAGUGAGUAAGCCAUUGAAAGUAAUACAAACGAAAGAAAACAAAUUGUCCAACCGAUUUUAUCCGUAUGACGAAAUUGAAACUGAAGCAGUAUUGUCAAUAGAUGAUGACAUUAUCAUGUUGACUGCUGAUGAAGUAGAAUUCGCUUAUGAGGUGUGGAGGGAAUUCCCAGAUAGAAUCGUUGGAUUUCCAUCUCGUUUGCACAUGUGGGAUAAUAGCACUAAUUGUUGGAAGUACGAAAGCGAAUGGACGAACAGUAUUUCUAUGGUUUUAACAGGAGCAGCUUUUCAUCAUAAGGCUACAAAUACCUUAUAAACACCUUUGGAUUUUAUUUUUUCUUGCAAAAAACCAACAUCCUCUCCUGUAUCCUUCUACUAAGAACGUAUAAUCCAAUAUUGGAAUUAUAUGUAUACCACAGCUAUGCCAGGGGACAUAAAGGAAUGGGUCGAUGAGCACAUGAAUUGUGAGGACAUUGCAAUGAAUUUUCUGGUAGCAAAUAUUACUGGAAAAGCUCCGUU